RNAcentral lists this long non-coding RNA (432 nucleotides) under Nicotiana benthamiana. RNAcentral describes it as "long non-coding RNA (NBEN_LNC034404)". The record is from RNAcentral. Lineage: Eukaryota; Viridiplantae; Streptophyta; Magnoliopsida; Solanales; Solanaceae.
UUGACAGGAGGAUUCCCAGGAGGAACAGACACAUUUGAAUGCACAUGAGAAGGACCAGACACAUUUCCCUUAGAAGGAGGUAUUUCAACACUAGUGGAGACAUGAGCAGCAGCAGGUCUCCUUCCGUUGUUGUAUUUGAUACUUUGAGGAUACCCAUGUAUCUUAUAACACUUAUCAAUUAAGUGCCCAGAUUUCUUGCAGUAUCUGCAAAACAGGGGUCCUUUAUUUGACUCAAAAUUAACUUUGGGUCUGAAAACAGAAGAACUAGGCACUGAGGCCUGAUUAAACCCAACUGGAUGCUUAUUUGUGCUAGCAUUAAAAGACAUGGAGUCUGGACUGAAUUGAGAAACAGAUUGAACUUAUCCCCAUUUCUCAUCAUUAAGCACUAUGUUGUAAACACUGUCAAGGGAAGGAAAAGGCUGCAUCAUCAAU